Molecule: long non-coding RNA, 985 nt
Filed under: Theropithecus gelada (gelada)
Lineage: Eukaryota; Metazoa; Chordata; Mammalia; Primates; Cercopithecidae
Description: lncRNA (ENSTGEG00000028759.1)
Source: RNAcentral
CGGCAGCCCGGUACCCCACGUGGAAGGGGCGGAGGAGGAUGAAGGGCCAGGGGAGCAGCGGACCCCGAGCCACCGCGACAGGACCCCGGCCCCUGCUACCGAGGCCCCCGCGCUUCCCCAGGGCCUCCCGGGCGGGGCCGGGCCAGGGAGUGCCCGCCGCGCCCGGCCCCUGGCCCUCCCGCCCGCCGCGCCUGUGUGCACUUUCGCGGAGCCACUAAUCCCCCGAGAGAGCCGAUUUGUAGUGAGGAGUAUCUGGAGGGGGCGAGGCCGGCCCAUGUGGGGUUGUGUCAUUGGUUUGCAAAGAGAGACCCCGCCUUUGCCCCCCCCCAAAAAAAAGGAGCGAGGAGUGAGCGAGCGGCGACCCUCACCUCGCCUCCCGCCUCGCUCCUGCGCAGCCGGCGGGCACCGGGAGCUGCGGCCAGCGCCGCUUCUUUCCUUUCCUUUUCUCUCCGUUUUCCUCCUCCUUCCCCGGAGGAGAAAACAAAUAAAGAAGAGCAAAUAGCCGGGAGGCGCUCGGCAUCCAGGACGUUCCCUCCCCCGAUCCAAGUUGGAAUUAGCAUCCUCUCGGGGGUGGCUCGGGAGCGGCCCGGAGGAGCCGGCGGCGGCCCGAGGAGCGAGGGACCGAACCGGGAGCCAUGCCGCGCUGAGGGGGGGCCGCACAGCCGCCGCCACCGCCACCGCCGCCGGGUGGGGUGGGAGGGGCGGGAGCCGCCGCCGCCGCCGCCUCCAGGGUGGGCGCCUUUCGCCGUGGACGCCGACCGUCCGGGACGAGACUGGGAGCAGCGGCGGAGGGCAGGAGGCUGCCCUGGGAGGCCAACUCCUUAAAUGCACACCUGACCGACGGGUACGCCCCUGCUGUGGGGCCAGGCAGGAGAGCAGCACCGGGGCACCCAGGACCACACACCGAGAAGUGUGAACCCAGCGUGGCCUGGCGUCCCAUCAGCAGGUGAGGGUCAUCUUUCAGGCCUGUUUCACUUCCUCAAAA